AACAGUGGGCACAAGCCCCUCCAAGAGGGGAUCUAUUAAGCCGAAGAGCCUUCUAUCCUUGGGUGGGUUUGCCCAGAGGAGCCCCAGUCAGUUGGUAUCUGUUGAGUCGAGGGAUGGAGACUAAUCUCAAGGGAGUGAAUCCGGCUUUGGGAACAAGAAGAGAAACAAAGAGCCUCACAUUUUGAAAAUAACACAUAACGGGGUCCUACACUCAAGAGUUCAAGGUGUAGUCUUGGCCGACGUUGAGGUUGUUCUCUGCAUCGCACUGGUCUGAACGCAUCUCCAGAGAGAACAAACGGACAGGCUUCAUGAACGGGGGUGCAGGAUGCCUCACUCAACACCGUCCAGCGGAGAGUGGCUCCACCAGCUGACCAGACACCAGCCCAUCUUUUCAGUCUGCCGACGGAAAUACCGCACAUUCCAAUCUCAGGGAGCGCUCGCUGCUAGGUUUUCCUCCCUCCCUCCCGGUUCCAUGCCAGGAUGAUAAAUUCUGCGCGGGUCAUGGAAAAAUUAUUGAGCUAUACUACAAUGUGAAGAAGAAAGCGUGCUGGUUCAGUAUCUUGGAUGUCUGAGUCCUGGAUACUCAGCUUUCUAAAUUGGUGACUUGCCAUUUUGCUGACACGCUACUCUCUGUUAAGCCAAGCAUCCAAAGACUGGUUGGCUUUCAGUAUUUUGGUAAAAUCAUCGUCUGAAAAGUUGAGGAGUGGAUCUUGGAACAUUGGUACCCAAGAGAGGUGCACCUACGAGGGCCCCAUCUGCCUUGAUAAGCAUCACGUGAAGCUGAGACGUGUGAUGAAUCUUCACAUUAUAGCCGUAGCCCUUAUUUCCAAGCAUAUUAAAAUUCACUUGACAUUCCAAGUGCAAACUAACCCAAGCCUUGGGCUCUGAGAGACAUGUCAGGCAUAUCCAAGCCUCAGAGGUAUCCUUAAUAGGCAUAUGAUUAAUGUCUGGUGAAGAUUUACUCAAGUUAAGUUUUAUUUUGAGGUGAAAACAUGACACUGAGAUGGAAAUAAAUCAAAUGAUUAAGAACAGAGCUGCUGUUAUCACCACAUAAUCUGGCAAUAAAUCAGUGGAACAGAAUAUUUAUUUG
Molecule: long non-coding RNA, 1090 nt
Organism: Herpailurus yagouaroundi (jaguarundi)
Lineage: Eukaryota; Metazoa; Chordata; Mammalia; Carnivora; Felidae
Exons: 2
Source: RefSeq, a predicted model, not a curated record